This 200-nucleotide ribosomal RNA is filed under the name uncultured eukaryote. RNAcentral describes it as "partial 18S ribosomal RNA". It matches the Rfam family "Eukaryotic small subunit ribosomal RNA", at positions 587 to 796 of the family's 1831-position model. The record is from RNAcentral.
AGCUCCAAUAGCGUAUAUUUAAGUUGUGCAGUUAAAAAAGCUCGUAGUUGGAUUUCGGUUGAGAGCGGCCGGUCCGCCGUUUGGUGUGCACUGGCUGGUUUCAACUCCUGCGGAGGACGCGCUCUGGGCUUAACGGUCUGGACGUGGAGUCCGCGUGGUUACUUUGAAAAAAUUAGAGUGUUCAAAGCGGGCUUACGCUU